GGUUCUGGAGUGUUCUUUUAAUUGGGCCUGAGUUUCUAUGUGCAGAAGGGCGGAAGCUGCUCAUGUUUUCCUCUUCCUUCACUCUUUCCCGUUCGAUUAGAGGUUCCGUGCUCCAAAUCACAAGGAUGUAGUUUUACGUACGACAUAAAAUCUUUGUGUUUUGUGUUUUGUUCUGGGAUUUUGGGUCCUAUAAUUUGUCGACAAGAAACGAACGAGGAAAUUAAGGUUGUUUUUCUUGGGUAUUUUUUGGAUUUUGUUUGAAUUGAAGGAGUUGGAAGGAGGGAGGAGAAAUGGCGGAUGGGGAAGAGAAAGGCAGUGACUUCUAUGCAGUUUUGGGGUUGGAAAAGGAAUGCACAGACUCGGAGCUCAGAAAUGCCUAUAAGAAACUUGCACUGAGAUGGCACCCGGAUCGGUGUUCGGCCUCCGGAAAUUCUAAGUUCGUGGAGGAAGCCAAGAAGAAAUUCCAGGACAUCCAAGAAGCCUAUUCUGUUUUAUCUGACGCGAAUAAGAGGUUUCUGUACGAUGUUGGAGCCUACGGCAGUGAUGAUGACGAAAACAAUGGGAUGGGUGAGUUUUUGGACGAGAUGGCAAUGAUGAUGCGCCAAACGAAGCCUAAUGAAAAUGGGCAGGAGACCUUUGAAGAAUUGCAAAAUCUCUUUGAUGAAAUGUUUGAAGGGGAUACUGGGAGUUAUGGGCCAGUCUCUCACCCUCCUAGUUCCUGUUCUACGUCUUCAUAUGUGUCCUACUGUGAAAGUUCAAGUUCCAGUACUAAGCGGAAUUGCUCUGAAAUGAACUAUGAGAAGGCGACCUUGGACGAUCCUUCUGGCUUCGACACUCAAUUUCAGAGCUUUUGUUUUGGGGUGAAACUGGUGAAGGCAUUAUCUUCUUAAAUAAAAUAACAUUUGGGGCAAACAAAUGUGGACUCUGAACUUAAGCCUUAAGGUGGAAAGCCUUCAAGACAUCGGGGAGGGGACGGCAGCAAGAGAAGUGACUCGCGCAGAAGCCACCGGUAAUCGAAGGCAUGGCAGGAAACAAAAGGUUACAUCUGGUAAUGAUGUUUCUUCAAAUGACUACUCUGGUAUAUCAGCUAGAUGAAGUUAUUGAUCCUGUUACUUAGGGACUUAUUUGGGAACUUAAUUGGCAAAUUUUUAAAUCACCCUGGAGAGUGCAGAAGAGUAACACCACCACCACCACGAGGAAUUUACUUGUUACUUUAAGGCAGCAUUGUAGGGUUUAGCAGGGGGUGGGAUGGGUUUAGGGCUUAAGCUUUCAUUGUUGCAAUUCCUGCCAUGCCAUACCAUUAGUGGUAAUGGCAUUGUUUCAAAGUCUUCAAUUGUAAUCUUAGUUACCCAUUGAUGUUGGGAUUUCAGUAGUUCCCUUUUCUUUAUUAUUUCAAAUCGGAAAAAUACUUGACUCGUUACAUGUAGGAUGUAGUUUUUCUCAGAUGGACAAAUCAGUUUGACAUGUGCAGAAGAUUUCCUUUUGUUUCGCUUC
Malus domestica (apple) is the source of this 1494-nucleotide RNA transcript. RefSeq lists it as uncharacterized. Lineage: Eukaryota; Viridiplantae; Streptophyta; Magnoliopsida; Rosales; Rosaceae. The record is from RefSeq and is a predicted model, not a curated record.